UGAAUCAGCAUUUAGUACUGGUGGGAGGGUGAUAACUCCAAAUCGUAAUCAGCUUAAACCUGAUCUUGUGGAGGCACUUAUGUGUGUGCAAGCAUGGGGUCGUGCUGAUAUGUUAGCUGAAAUUGCUAACAAGACCAAUGCAUUGAACACGGUACUUGACGAUGAAUCAGAAUCGGAAGCAUCUACUGUCACUGAAGCUUGAGGUGGAGAUUUCAUAAGUGAAGGAUGGGCUAGAAAGCCUGCAAUUGCAAACUAUCUACCUAUAUAUUUUAUUAUGUUGGCAAUGUAAUAGUAUAUUAAGACUUCUAUAUUUCUGUGAGACUGAAUUUGCUUGCUGAGU
Molecule: non-coding RNA, 340 nt
Organism: Oryza sativa Japonica Group (Japanese rice)
Lineage: Eukaryota; Viridiplantae; Streptophyta; Magnoliopsida; Poales; Poaceae
Source: RefSeq, a predicted model, not a curated record